ACAAAAAAAAAAAAAAAAAAAUAUCACUUCAAGAACACAAGACUAACCCCACCCGCUAUGAAGUCCUACUGAAGUGUGAAGCGCCCGCCAUUCUUCUGUUGGGAACAACCCUCCGGUGGUCUAAUACCAGUUCUUAUAACAUGCUCGUGAAAGAUAAACCUCAUCUAUAAGAAAUUGCUUAAUUUUUAUCAAACUCAAAAAACAAGCUACCAUCCUAAUCAUCAAAAUGACAAGAAAAAGUAAUCCAACAAAAGAUCACUAGAGAGCGGCCCAGUGCCCAACUUUUAGAGUUGCCUUCCUACUUUAUUGGAUUAAAGCAACACUAACAGCCAGACACUCAACAUAUUAGGGAACAGAAUAUGAAGGUGCUGGCAGAAAAGGAAAUGGUGCAAUAGAAGCAUAUGCCACAGGUGCACGUGCUUCUGUACCAGCAAUUGUAUGCCUUCCUUUGCUCUUCUGACUAUCAGUUCCAGAGUCUAGUACUUUAGCUUCCAAGGAUGAUGGAAGCUCACUUUCUCCACAGAGACGGUGAAACAAAAGCCCAGACAUAAAUACAGGAAGAUACAGUAGACUGGCAUGAAACAUCCUCUUAGCCUUAUGUACUGUUCGGUCUUGGUAGAAUGAAAACGCUGAGGCACUAAUUGCUAGAGUCAAGAGUGAUGACUCAAGACAAAACCAACCAGAAGUCACACCCCCUGCACAUAAUAUUUGAUAAAUUAGGUGAUUAAAAGAGAUGAUCACUAGGACAUGUUUUUAACAUCAAGUUAUUAUUCAUAUUGUUGUGACAUACCAAAAGAAGAGUUCUCAGAAAUUAAUUCCGGUUGUAAAUAUCAAUUACAAAGUGUAUUACACAAGGAAGAGUACUAAGGCAAGAUGCUUAAGCAUUAUAAAUUUUAUUAACUCAUUAAAAAUUUUAUGUGCAAAAACCAAGAAUUGCACAUGAUUUUAAUAAGCUUGACAAAUGUGCAGAAGAAAUCGUCAAAGAAUCCAUGAAAUAAUUGCAUGUAAAAAUGCUACAGAGACAAGUCUGCAAACAAGAUAAUGUCCCUAAAACAAGUAUAUUCCUCAUGCAUGAUAGGAGGUAUAGAACAACAGAUUCAGGAGUCAUUCUUUAUGCUUUAAAGCAGAGUCAUGUAACAAGAAGAAAGUGAUUCCAUACCAUAUCUAAGGAUUAUGUGGAGACCUUGACAUACAUGCAUCACCGUAACAACAGAAACUAAAUCUCAUGUGAACAUGCAUGCAUCACUUUAACAACAUAAACUAAAGUCAUGGAUCCCAACUGAAAAGUAGGAAAAGAAAAAAAGACAGAUCAGAUUAAAAUAAACUAAAUAAGAUGCUUCAUACCCAUUUAUUUUUGUUUAAAUAUGAGAAACUUGCAGAAGGGUACCAAAUGAAGAAAACAUUAACAAAAAGAGGGGAGAAAAAAGGCAUUCACUGCACAAGGCUUUCCACAUUGUAGGUUUUAGAGAGUCAAAUGCACAUAGCCUUUCCGUUGCUUUUUUAAAUGGGGUGACCUUAUUUUUGCAUCAAGGCUUAACCUUUGAAGAAACCACAAAAAACAAAAGAAGUAACAAAGAUAAGUGUUUUCUUCAGUUGACAGGAACUUACAAUCAUAUGCCAAAAAACCCAAUGGAACCAGAUACAGACAGUUCCUAAGAGCUACUGAGGCAGUUCUUUGACCAGAGGUAUCAGCAAGAGAGAACAUCUUAAACCUGAAGAUGCCACAAAUGAUAAUAUAUAUAUAUAUAUGAGGAACAGGUUAAUAUUGAAAGCAAAAGAGAGAUAGAGAGAGGCUGAGCACAAGUUAUUGAAUAUUUUAACAGCAUCAUUCACAUACACGUGUGAGGAUACCACAUCCCUCCUCCAAAUUACUUAUGUUGAUUAUCAUCCAGAUUAAACAUUCCCAUGUCACUAAUUUGUUAAUUUGAUUAAGAAAUUUACACACAUUAUUGUGAAAUUAUGUCCAGAACAGCCAAUCAGGUUGAUCAGAGAACAGUUUUUGCCACAGCUUUUAUAUCAAAACCAAUCAAAAAUUAAUGAGACACUAACUUUAAAAUCACAGCAUCUGCACAUACCCUCCAUCAGCAUAAUCAUUGCGACACAAAUAAGCAAGGGCCAUGAAGUGGGGUAUUUGCCAAAAAUAGAGUGCAGCAGGAAGAAUCAUUGCAUUCAGUGAAACCUGGCCAGAAGCUGCAGCCCACCCUAAAAGUGGUGGAAUGGCACCGACAACAGCCCCAACCCAUGUGUUGACCGGAUGAAUCUGCUUCAAUGGUGUAUAGACAAAUGCAUAAAGAAUAAGAUUGGAUGCUGCAAGCCCAGCUGCCAACAUAUUAGCCUGCAACAAUCUUGUAUGUCAACAAAGCAGUGCCAGCUAAACCAACAGAAGAUGCCCAGGCAACAGCAUGUGGUAUUGUAAGACGCCCUGAAGGAAGUGGUCUUUGCCUUGUUCUUUUCAUUUUGGCAUCAUUACUUAUCUCCAACACCUAAUAAAAUAUAUACAAACCCUUAUCUCAGAAGUUCAAAUCAACCGAGUAAAAUGAGAAAAGCAACUAAACACAAGAUCUAUCAGCAAUCAAACACUUGUAAAACACUUGUUUUCAUAGUCGUUAAAAGUGCACUAGAAGCUCAAGCCAACAGCUCUAGACCUCUACAAGGGCGAGGCAGGUGUUAUCACAAAAUUCGCGUUCUUGCACCCCUGUUGUAAGGCAACUGGUGCAAGGCCACCACAGCUAGACUUGUAGCUUCCAAUCUGCCAGAAUCAGCAUCAACAGCCUGAAGAAUCACCUAAAUACAUAGCUGUUGAUGGGAUAUAACAAGACCACCAUCCCCAGAGUACCAACGAGUGAUGUUACCCUUCCAUCAUUCAAGCACCUCAAUUUUCUCCGCUCACACCUUAUUCUAAUCCCAUUUGAAAAAAAAAAGGAGCAUUAUUAUUCAAAAAUUAAUGUUAUAAAAGAUUUGAAAAUUAAAAAAUUCAUGGAUCACCUUAUGUUAUUGCCUUCAAGAAAACAGCCAAAUGCUAUUGCAGUCUCAUACAACCAAACUUUUGAUGUUUUCUGUUUCUCACCUCACUAUCCUAUGUCUAUAUACAGGGCUCUAAAUGAAAAUUAAAACUUCUGAUCAGCCGGAUAGUUUACAUAAGCCAGUGAGAGAUAAGAUUCAUUUCUUCGAUUAUAAAUUCUUGGAAAACCAUGAGAAUGAACAUUUAUAAUAAACAAAAUUUUAUUAAUGGAAGAAAACAUUAUAAUGGAGGAUGAGGCACUCAUCACAAGCAACAUAAGACAGUGUUAAGAGUUGCAAUUUUUUUGGUAACGUACACAAUCAGAACCAAAUACUAUCUCUCCAAAGCAAACCUGAUUUAAUGAGUUAGCAGAUGCUGCAACCAUCAUUGUACCAGCGCAAGUCCAACACAGUCCUGCAAAAUCAACAGCAUUGCCACUCCCAAGAACAUAUCCGGUUCCAGAAGUUGCAACAACUAACAUGCUGAGGCGAGCUUUGGAGAGCUCCCAAUAGCAGCGGCUGUAGUGGCGAGCCAAUUGCACCGCGGAAGUAAAGGGUGAGGCGACCGAGGAAGAUGGGGAGAAAGUUCGAAUUUCAUCAGAUUUGGGUUUCAGAAACCUAGAUUUUAGUGAGCCUAAAGGUGGAGGGAUGGCAGCGGAUGACGAUGAGCAACGCGAGAGGAAUUGCGGCACAAUGAUAAAGCCGUUUGCAUAGAAAAUGGAUGAAGACCACGAUCCAUGAUGAUAAUAAUUCAAGUUUGAAAACAGCUUUGGUGUGAAACUCACCGAGUUCCUCCACAUGGUGAGGAUCAAAGGUUCCCCGAGAGAGUUGGGUCAGUUUUUUCGGCGUAUAGGCACCAGCAGCAAGCUUUCGCAAAAAUGCAUUCAAAUUAAAGGGGUAUCUCAAUCUCGACCGAAGAUUAGAUUUGAAGCUUGAGAUUCGCUUAAAUUCAGCUCACAUUUAAACUCGUUGAUUAAAUCAAGAUUUUUAAAACCUGC
Molecule: unclassified non-coding RNA, 3998 nt
Filed under: Hevea brasiliensis (rubber tree)
Lineage: Eukaryota; Viridiplantae; Streptophyta; Magnoliopsida; Malpighiales; Euphorbiaceae
Source: RNAcentral